This 478-nucleotide ribosomal RNA is filed under the name uncultured bacterium. RNAcentral describes it as "partial 16S ribosomal RNA". It matches the Rfam family "Bacterial small subunit ribosomal RNA", at positions 28 to 523 of the family's 1533-position model. The record is from RNAcentral.
GACGAACGCUGGCGGCGUGCUUAACACAUGCAAGUCGAACGGUAAGGCCCUUCGGGGUACACGAGUGGCGAACGGGUGAGAAACACGUGGGUGAUCUGCCCUGCACUUCGGGAUAAGCCUGGGAAACUGGGUCUAAUACCGGAUAGGACCCUGGGAUGCAUGUCCUGGGGUGGAAAGCUUUUGCGGUGUGGGAUGGGCCCGCGGCCUAUCAGCUUGUUGGUGGGGUGAUGGCCUACCAAGGCGACGACGGGUAGCCGGCCUGAGAGGGUGACCGGCCACACUGGGACUGAGAUACGGCCCAGACUCCUACGGGAGGCAGCAGUGGGGAAUAUUGCACAAUGGGCGCAAGCCUGAUGCAGCGACGCCGCGUGAGGGAUGACGGCCUUCGGGUUGUAAACCUCUUUCAGCACCGACGGAGCGCAAGUGACGGUAGGUGCAGAAGAAGGACCGGCCAACUACGUGCCAGCCGCCGCAGUAA